Molecule: RNA transcript, 7316 nt
Organism: Homo sapiens (human)
Lineage: Eukaryota; Metazoa; Chordata; Mammalia; Primates; Hominidae
Gene: METTL15
Gene name: methyltransferase 15, mitochondrial 12S rRNA N4-cytidine
Exons: 12
Source: RefSeq, marked validated
AGCCACUUGAGAUCACCAGGCCUCCUGUAGACCGGCGGGUGCAGGGCCCGGUCCCAGAGUUAAGGGAAAGUCGUUUGGAAACCCCAGGCCAACAGGACCCUUUGGCAGCUGAGGCUGGAAACAGCGGAACCAAAGGCAGACGGUCCUCAGUUGCUUGGGCGGACGUGGACCCAAUCUGUCCGUCCUUACAAGUUUCCCCCAGGGGCAGGACCUAGACGCGCGGCGCAUUCAGGUUCUCCUGGACCGUAGUGGUAGUCGCUGGCCCGAGUUAGAGGCCAGCUGAGAAGUCUUCGUGCUUCAGAUUUGUUUACCUACAAAAUGCUUCGGUAUCCAUAUUUUUGUAGAAUGUAUAAAGAAUGCCUUUCAUGUUGGUUGGAAUCUGGCAUACCUAAUUUAGGUGUCUGGCCAAACAGAAUACAUACUACAGCAGAAAAAUAUAGAGAAUAUGAAGCCCGGGAGCAAACAGAUCAAACUCAAGCCCAGGAGUUACACAGAUCUCAAGAUAGAGAUUUUGAAACUAUGGCUAAAUUACAUAUUCCAGUAAUGGUGGAUGAAGUUGUUCAUUGUUUGUCACCACAAAAAGGACAGAUUUUUCUAGAUAUGACAUUUGGUUCGGGAGGGCACACAAAAGCCAUUCUGCAGAAGGAGUCAGAUAUUGUUCUCUAUGCCUUGGACAGAGACCCAACAGCUUAUGCAUUAGCUGAACAUCUUUCAGAGUUGUAUCCUAAACAAAUCCGAGCUAUGCUGGGCCAGUUCAGCCAGGCAGAAGCCUUAUUAAUGAAAGCUGGAGUGCAGCCAGGAACUUUUGAUGGAGUUCUUAUGGAUCUUGGGUGUUCCUCCAUGCAACUUGAUACUCCUGAAAGAGGUUUUUCCCUUCGGAAAGAUGGCCCUUUGGACAUGAGAAUGGAUGGUGGCAGGUACCCUGACAUGCCCACUGCUGCUGAUGUUGUGAAUGCUUUAGAUCAACAGGCACUUGCAUCUAUCCUAAGAACAUACGGGGAGGAGAAGCAUGCCAAGAAAAUCGCUUCAGCAAUUGUUCAGGCACGCAGCAUCUACCCCAUCACCAGAACCCAGCAGCUUGCCAGCAUCGUUGCAGGUUGCACUGGAGAAUCUAAACUCUUUUGGAGAUGUCCCAAGGCCUAACCUGCACCUCUUCACAGCAUAGGCAUUUUCCCCCAAUAAACUACUUAUUCUCCCAACUUCAUCUCAGUGUCAGCUUCCUAGAAGACCCAAACAACGUGGAUGGCCUUCAAAGAAAAAUGGAGGUAUGCCCUGGUUCACUGUAGGAAGAGACUAUAUACGGAUGUGAACACCAGAAGAUGAAGACCAUUGGAAGUCAUCUUGAAGGCUGCACAUGUUCUUCGGAAAAAGAUCUAAAAGCAUCACCUUUUGCUUUGUCUGCUGGUGCUUAAGUUUGAAUAUGUCAUCCCACUGCCUUUGGCCUUCAUAGCUUCUGGCCCAGGAAAGGGAAGAAUUACAUGAAGACACAUGGAGAGGGGAGCCAAGGGGAGAGGUUCAGAAGAAACAAAGCCUGCUGAUAUCUUGAUCUUGGGGUCUAACCUCCAGAACGGUGAUGAAAUGUCUGUUAUUUAAGCCAUUCGGUCUGUGGUAUUGGUGACAACAGUCUAAGCAGACUAAUGCAAGCCCUGACACAGACUUUAUGCAAUUUAAUUCUCUUUUCUCAGUCAUGAUUUUCUCCUCUGUAAUAAGCUCUAAUUAUCAGUGAUGAAAAUUAAAUGUGUAAAUGUGUACAUUAUUGUUUAAAGACAAGUAAAGAAAACCAACACCCUUGUUUUUGUUUAACGGAUCUACCUAUUUUUAGGAAAUGUUUAAGCAGAUGUGGAUUUUUUUUUUAACACAAUAAAAUACUAUCCUUUUCUCAGCUCUUUUAAAAAAUACAUACCUAUUUUCUGAGAAGACAUUUUCACUUGGUUGAAUGAUGUUUAAUCCAGCUUUGCAAAAUAGCUCUUCACCCAGAAUAUGGCUGGUGGUUUGUGCAAAUAGCAAAGAACACUUGAUUUAUUUUACUACCUUAGUUGGAAAACAAAUUUAGUUAGUUACUUUACCUUUUGUUGUGUUGAUUUUAACCAUUAUGCUUUGACUCAUAGUUUUUCUUAUAAGGCACAUUGGGUAAAGAAAGUAGCAUAGAGUUGAAUCCCACCCUCCCCUGUUACUAAAUGGCUUUGUUAUCUUGGGUUAGCUAACUGGCUUUUCUGAGUUUGUUAGCUACUUUGUAAUAUGACAUUAAUUUUAUCUCACUUGACCAUUCAUUUAUAAUUUAAUAAAUAAAUAGGCAUUGAGUACCCCCUGCAUGCCAGGCACAGUAUUAGAUGCUGGUGAUUCAAUGGACAUCAAAACCAGUCACAGUCAGUAUCCUUGUGGAGCAUUAAUACAGUGAGAGCAUAGAUAUUUAUCAAAGAACUAUAAAAAUAAAUGCACAAUUGCAACUUUGCUGUCUCCUAGAGGAAAGAGGCAUGGUGCUUUGAAAGCAUAUCAUAGAGGGAUUUGACUUAAUCAAGGAGGUAUUUGAAGGCCUCCCCAAGGAAGUGAUAAUUGAACGAAGAUCUGACAAAAGAAGUAGGUGCUAACUAGGACUGAGAGGAUUAAAAACAAGGCAACAGAUAGGAAAUAUGCUACCAUUUUUCUUACUAACAUUACUGUUAUUUAAUAGAGACCUUCUUAGCGUUUUUAUCUCAUCAGUGAAGUGACACUUUGUCUUAUGAUAAUUCCAGGUCUGGCAUUAUUUCAUAAUUCCUUGUCUGGAAUAAAUAUUUUCAAACUUGAAGGUGAUAUACCCAUAAAAAUUCUGACUCUCAAAGUAAUUGCCAACUGUGGCAUGCAUGGGAAGAAUUUGUAAAAAAAUGACUCAGUGUAAAUCAUGAUUAUUUUACAUUUUUCUUAAUUUUGUACCUAUUUCCCAUUCUCUGCCUAUAUUAUAUAAUAACUUUUAUAUCAACUAUAUUUCCCAUGUUAAACCUGAGUUAUGAAAUUCUUUCUGCAUCUUUUCUCAUGUAUUGGAAAGAAAGUUAAUUCUUUUCAGCUUAAUCUUACCCAGUGCAAAGCCCUUGUAAUAAUGUACUUUAUUUUUGAAGGCUUCUGACCAGUAAACUGCAUACUUCAAAAAGGGACUAUCUAAGCCCAAUAGGCACCACUCAGCAACGAACCAGCUGAUUCCCUAAUACUAAGCAAUUAUGUAAGGACUGUCCAAACAUAAUAAAACAGCAUUUCUCCCUCAGGGGAGGACUUAAAGGAACAGUCACCUCUUCCUACUCCUUUCAUAUAACAUUGCUGCUUUCCCAUCUGAACCGAGACUAAGUCAGCGUGAUUGGUUAAGCUCUUCUUACUGAGAACAAACUGAACCCAGAUGUGAAUUGGGGAAGGCAGGCCAAUUUUGCUUUUGGUCUUUGCAGUGCCAACGGUCCAAUUUUUUCAAAGCUUUACAGUACCUGGCACUUUGGGCCAUGUUGUAAAGAUCAGGCUUAUGAAUGUUUAUUAGUCAUUCUCUGAUAAUUACUUUGCCACGAUUUUCCAAAUGGACAAAAACCUUAUUUUUUCCUUAUUUGUGGUAUGUGUGUUUGUAUCGCAUAGAUACUAAAUAUUGAAAGCUAGAUUUCAGAUCAUUCUAUGUUGGCUUAACUGAGCACUCUUUAAAAUAGAGGAAAUGCUGAGACUUUUAAUUGGUGAGCCAUUCUGAAGCAGAAAUAUUGUAAUGCAUCUUUUAAUCUGUCUAAUUUUGAAAUUUAUGAACAAAAAUGGCCCUGUAGAGAAACAAAAUGGCAUGAGGCAAAUGUUUGACAUGUAAUAGUAAUAUAACUGGAAUGAGGUAGAAUCCUUACCUCAGGUGUAAUGGCUUAAAUUUAGCAAUUUCUAGGGUCCAUGAAUGGAGUGGGUUCAUAAUCCUAAAAUGUUCAGGAAGGAUGAAGACAUAGGUGGAAAUCUGCUUACGUUGAGAAGAGAAAGACUUUAAGAUCAAUAAACAGCACUUAGUUGAAACCACUAAUGAGGUAUACGACAUGUCUCAGAAAUCACAAGUUUAUUUUGCUUUUGUGAGAAGUCAGAAUAACUUGUGGCUGAGGCUGUCAACACACUAGACCGCAGCCUUGUGUCAGCCUCUGGUUUUUCUAGUGCUUAAGAAGUGUCAAGUUCCAAGAGAAGGGCAGAAGCUCUGUCAUCUGAAGCAUGCAGUUCAUCAGCUUCAUACUGGAAAACAACUUGAGAUGUAUCAUUUUAAAGCACAAAGGAUGUAACUUUAUGAAAAUCAAUUUCUUGUUAUUCUUCCAUACUCUCCAUACACCCACUUUUUAAAGAAAAAAUAUGCCCUUUUGCAAAGCUGGUACUUGAAAAUGUGGAACGCAGAAAUUCACCCUGAUCUCUCCCUUUUCCCCCUACUUCUUUCGUGAAUUGAGGAAUACACUUGUCCAGAUUAUUUUGGUGUACAUAGCAGGGGGUGGGGGGCGGGGGUAGGAAUAUGGGAGGAGUGGAAAUAAAAUGAAAUAAAAAAUUGAUUUGUAUUGCUCUGUUUGGCGUUUAGUGAAGACUUGAUUAGUCCUGGGGGUUCUUUCAUUUCUCCAACUCCUCCAAUUGCCAUAAUCCUUAGCUCUAUACUUGGAACAAUAUGAGUGCCCUCUGGUGGACAAAAUGUCAUUUAAAUUUUUGUGUAUAUUGACUGAACAUGGGUAAGUAUGUAGAAAAUAAAUCUUAUGUUUCAAAUGUCCUCAUUGAACUUCUGAAAUCCAUAAAAAAUUAGUUUCUGAUGUUCAAGGGUUGUGACAGCAGAAAAUAGCUCCAUAAAAUAUGGGGAUAAAAGGCAAGCUGGGGUGGGUACUCCUGGUCCUAUUUGCUACCAAAGUAGAGUCUUGGAGCUAUACAUAAUUGGGAAGCUGAAGAGGAACUCAAAUGUCUAAGGGGAAGGCCAAUAACUCUACUUCUUGGCCAUCUAUGCAAAGAUUAGAAAUGCUAUCAUUAAGAAGGAGACAUUAAUGAAACAACAUAAGCACAGGCAAAGCCUCUAAAGAUCUAUGCCUGUUGGCAUUUGGUGGUUAAAAUUCUUAAAGAGAGAGACAGAGAGAGAGAAACCACAAAGGUUGUAUAACCUAUUACAUGCCUAAAUAAUGCAAAAGACAUAAAACAAUGCAGGCCUUUGCAGUAAAGGCUUAUAAAGCAUGUUUUCCCAUUUAUUCAGACUCUAUCUUCUCUGUUGGAGAAUAACACAUUAAAGGCUGAAUGCAGAGUAUCUGGUUAUUUUAAAUCUCCUUCAAUUUUUGACUUACUAAAAGGAUAGCAAUCUGAUUUAAAUUACCAAAUUGGCAAAGCUCUAGAAUUAUGGGCAGCGGUGUGCUGAUAAAUGUAUAACAACUGUUUCCAAAAAAGAAAGCCCUGCUUGGUAAUAUCUGCCAAUUUCCAUGGUGUAAAUAAUAUCAUCAUGGUUGAUUUAAAGCUACCAACAUAACGUCACUGAACAUACCAUUCUAAAGACAUGCGCACAAUUGACUUUCAGAAACUGCUACAGGGCAGCUCUAGAAUGCCACUAAAUAAGAGAUUUAGAAUUUUUUUUUCUGUAAUUUUCAUAGUUUGGACCAUGAAGAUAUAUUAUUUUUGUAAUAAUGAAAGAAAAACUCAAAAGUUAUUUUAAAAAUAGGCCCCAACUGAAGAAAUUAUUUCUAGCAAAAAUUGUUUAAUACAGUCUAUCUACAAUGUUUCAAAACUUAAUAUGUCUCUCUUAAAAACUCUGUAAAGUAGAUAAAAUAGAUAUCUGUACUACUUCUUGACAGGGAAGGAAUAUGAAGUCUAAGGGGGUUUAAGCAACUUAUAGAACUAGUCCUAUAAUUCUAGUUUUUUUUUAGCUGUUUAUUUAUUUCCCUGUUUUACAUACUAAAUGGCAAAUUCACAACUGAAAUUGCUGCUUUCUAACUGCAUUUGUACUUUUCAUUCAACUGUGGUGUUUGCUUCAAGCAGAAAAGGAUUAUCUGAAGCUAUCUCUUCAAGAAAUUUCUGAUUUUAUAAAGCAAUUGAUUACUAUAUAAUCUGAUGCUAUCACUGCUAUACUCUAAAAUGAUGACAAAAACCACCAUCCAUCCCAGCUCCCAUGGACCUAGAAAACAAGAGGAGAGUCUGAUUAUAUUUUCUACACUAUCUUUUCCUUGUAUCAUGCUUUUAUUAGUUCAACCAAUGUUGAUAAAAUCCUUGAUAGCUCUAAUUUCUGCCAAUCAUCCUCAUAUCCUUGAACUUAAGGAACUCACGUGCCUAGGUUUAGUAUAUUCAAGACCACUCCAAACCACUGAGCCAUGUGAAAAUCAGAAGUUUAGGACAGUGAAAGGAGAACAGAUUUGUGAAUCAGGAAUAUCUUUAUUUGAAUAUUGCUUCAGAUACUUUCUGUGUGACUUUCAGCAAGUCACUGAAUCUCUCCGAUCCUGUUUCCUUUUCUGAAAAUAAUAAUGCCUACCUCACCGUAAAGUUGAGUACACUAAGUUAGAUGGUAUUGAUUAAAUGCUUAUUAAAAUACAUGACAUAUUGUGAACACUUGAAAAAUGGUAGUAGUAAUAUUUCACAAUUAACUGUUAUUAAAUUAAAAUUUAGUAAUAAUUGAAACGCUUAGCUUCCUUCCAGUAUUGCAUAAUAUUAGUUUCCAGGUAAACAGAUAAUCAAAUAACAAACAGCAAUAGAUAGACACAGAGAAUCCUGCAUAUCUUUUUAACCCCCCAAAACCAAUUUACAUCAAGAGCAAUCUAAGUGGUUUUAUAUUGUGCCUGUGUAUAUUAACAUUCACUUACCUAUUUCCAUGGCUAUCUUAUCUUUCUUUCAUAGAUGAAAAUACCACAUUAGGUAAAUGCAGCACUGCCUCCAUGGAGAUGAAGCUCUUUUAGAAAAACGUUAAUUUUUCUAAAACUAUAUUGUUGCAUGUCUUUCUCUAUCUAACUACCUACCACCAUCAUCAGCAUCAGCUAUGUAAUCUAUAUCCAUCCAUUUGUUGGAUGAAACCAUCUCCAUGAUGUCUGUACUUUCAGGGACUUAUAUUUUUGAAUUACUGAUUAACUCAAACUAAUUGAUUAAACCCUUGGAUUUUGGUGGAUCACUUUUUGUUCCCUGUGUUGGUGAGAUCAGCAACCAGUCUUGAUCAAGGUGUAUAUUUUAAGAAAUGAAUACCAAGAAAGCAAAGCAAGUGAACAUUUUUAUUCCAUAGCUAUACCAGGGAUUGUGAUUUUUCCCUGAAUUUGGAAAUUUCCUAUUUGUGUGUGUAUGCAUGGUGUGAGUACACAUGUAUGUCUGUGGGUAUAAAUAUGUUUAAAAAUAAAAUUUGUAUUUAUUGCUUCAUAAAA